This 662-nucleotide unclassified non-coding RNA is filed under the name Hevea brasiliensis (rubber tree). The record is from RNAcentral. Lineage: Eukaryota; Viridiplantae; Streptophyta; Magnoliopsida; Malpighiales; Euphorbiaceae.
GGAGAAUUAAAAAACAAGGACAGCAAAUCAGGCUUAACAUGAGUAAAUGAGGUCAACCCAACCCACUGGACUGAACUAUGGCACAACAUAAGGUAGCUGGAUAAUAAUGCUUCACAGUCACAGAACUAACGAUGCGCUCUUUUGCAUUUUUGGCCUCAGAAAAUUUAUCCUUGAUAAAUCUGCUGAGAGAGUCGCCCUAUGAGCCAAAGAUUUCCUGGUUCUCCUAGGGGCAGAGGGAAGGCAUGAAUCUAGGAAACCAAGAUGUAGAUUUGAAAGUAAAAGAGGGCAAUAUAAAAACCAUAAGGUAAUGCUCAUUAUAGGCGGUAGGAAUUCAAGAGAAUGACGGCAAAAAAAAUUAGCCAAGAGAAGUGAGAGAGAGCUGCAGCAGCUGAAGCCAAUGCCAAGAAAGAAGGUUUCCAGAGAGAAGUUUCCCUCUUCACCUGUUUUUAUAAAAAAGAUGAUUCAUUUCAUUAAAAAAAAGAAAAAAGAAUACAAAGAGUUCUAGACUUGAUAUGGUAAACUCCAAAAUAUCUAAAUGAUGAGAGAUCUAUUGCCUGAACUAUUUAUGGUUCAGACCUAAAUUAUGAUUCGGUCAAUAACAUGAUUUGGCUGCCGAAUCCUAUGGUUCGGACGCUGGGAUAUUCGCAGUUUUUUAACUCAAC